AUUGAACGCUGGCGGCAGGCCUAACACAUGCAAGUCGAGCGCUUCUAGCUUGCUAGAGGAGCGGCGAACGGGUGAGUAACGCGUAGGAAUCUGCCUGGUAGUGGGGGACAACGUCUCGAAAGGGACGCUAAUACCGCAUACGCCCUACGGGGGAAAGGGGGGAUCUUCGGACCUCUCGCUAUCAGAUGAGCCCAUGUCGG
Molecule: ribosomal RNA, 200 nt
Filed under: uncultured bacterium
Lineage: Bacteria
Description: partial 16S ribosomal RNA
Rfam family: Bacterial small subunit ribosomal RNA
Source: RNAcentral